Molecule: ribosomal RNA, 948 nt
Filed under: Bacillus pumilus
Lineage: Bacteria; Bacillati; Bacillota; Bacilli; Caryophanales; Bacillaceae
Description: bacterial SSU rRNA
Rfam family: Bacterial small subunit ribosomal RNA
Source: RNAcentral
AAAACGGGCUCGCAGGCCGGUCUCUUUAAAGUCCUGAAUGUGAAAGCCCCCCGGCUCCAAACCGGGGGAGGGUCAUUGGAAAACUGGGGAAACUUGAGUGCAGAAGAGGAGAGUGGAAUUCCACGUGUAGCGGUGAAAUGCGUAGAGAUGUGGAGGAACACCAGUGGCGAAGGCGACUCUCUGGUCUGUAACUGACGCUGAGGAGCGAAAGCGUGGGGAGCGAACAGGAUUAGAUACCCUGGUAGUCCACGCCGUAAACGAUGAGUGCUAAGUGUUAGGGGGUUUCCGCCCCUUAGUGCUGCAGCUAACGCAUUAAGCACUCCGCCUGGGGAGUACGGUCGCAAGACUGAAACUCAAAGGAAUUGACGGGGGCCCGCACAAGCGGUGGAGCAUGUGGUUUAAUUUGAAGCAACGCGAAGAACCUUACCAGGUCUUGACAUCCUCUGACAACCCUAGAGAUAGGGCUUUCCCUUCGGGGACAGAGUGACAGGUGGUGCAUGGUUGUCGUCAGCUCGUGUCGUGAGAUGUUGGGUUAAGUCCCGCAACGAGCGCAACCCUUGAUCUUAGUUGCCAGCAUUCAGUUGGGCACUCUAAGGUGACUGCCGGUGACAAACCGGAGGAAGGUGGGGAUGACGUCAAAUCAUCAUGCCCCUUAUGACCUGGGCUACACACGUGCUACAAUGGACAGAACAAAGGGCUGCAAGACCGCAAGGUUUAGCCAAUCCCAUAAAUCUGUUCUCAGUUCGGAUCGCAGUCUGCAACUCGACUGCGUGAAGCUGGAAUCGCUAGUAAUCGCGGAUCAGCAUGCCGCGGUGAAUACGUUCCCGGGCCUUGUACACACCGCCCGUCACACCACGAGAGUUUGCAACACCCGAAGUCGGUGAGGUAACCUUUAUGGAGCCAGCCGCCGAAGGUGGGGCAGAUGAUUGGGGUGAAGUCGACAGCGCG